GACGAACGCUGGCGGCGUGCUUAACACAUGCAAGUCGAGCGGAAAGGCCCUUUCGGGGGUACUCGAGCGGCGAACGGGUGAGUAACACGUGAGUAAUCUGCCCUUGGCUUUGGGAUAACUACCGGAAACGGUGGCUAAUACCGGAUACGACGUACUCAGGCAUCUGAUGUGCGUGGAAAGUCUUUUCGGCCAGGGAUGUGCUCGCGGCCUAUCAGCUUGUUGGUGGGGUAAUGGCCUACCAAGGCUUCGACGGGUAGCCGGCCUGAGAGGGUGACCGGCCACACUGGGACUGAGACACGGCCCAGACUCCUACGGGAGGCAGCAGUGGGAAUAUUGGACAAUGGGCGGAAGCCUGAUCCAGCAACGCCGCGUGAGGGAUGACGGCCU
RNAcentral lists this ribosomal RNA (387 nucleotides) under uncultured bacterium. RNAcentral's name for it is "bacterial SSU rRNA". It matches the Rfam family "Bacterial small subunit ribosomal RNA", at positions 28 to 417 of the family's 1533-position model. The record is from RNAcentral.